UACGGAGGGUGCAAGCGUUAUUCGGAAUCACUGGGCUUAAAGGGUGCGUAGGCGGGCGUUCAAGUCAGUGGUGAAAUCCCCCGGCCCAACCGGGGAACUGCCGCCGAUACUGAUCGUCUCGAGGGAGGUAGGGGUGUGUGGAACUUCCGGUGGAGCGGUGAAAUGCGUAGAGAUCGGAAGGAACGCCGGCGGCGAAAGCGACACACUGGAUCUCUUCUGACGCUGAGGCACGAAAGCCAGGGGAGCAAACGGG
Molecule: ribosomal RNA, 253 nt
Filed under: uncultured bacterium
Lineage: Bacteria
Description: partial 16S ribosomal RNA
Rfam family: Bacterial small subunit ribosomal RNA
Source: RNAcentral